Pieris napi is the source of this 1271-nucleotide long non-coding RNA. RefSeq lists it as uncharacterized. The transcript has 2 exons. The record is from RefSeq and is a predicted model, not a curated record. NCBI's taxonomy places the organism in Eukaryota, Metazoa, Arthropoda, Insecta, Lepidoptera, Pieridae.
UUAUAGGUAAUAAGUAACCGUUUAUAAUUUAUGACCUACACAUAUUGUAAACUGAAUUACUUACUACACUUGUCCAUCUGAUAAGCCGUAUACCUUUUUAUUACUAUUUGUGUAUGAGGUAUUUUUGUAAUUAAAUAGAUAUUCGUCAUAUUUUAGUAUGGUGAUCUAUUUACGCUUACAAACACGUGUGCUAAAUUUCAUAAGACGUGUGUGUCAACUAAAAGUGUAUGGAUAAUGGAGAUGAUUCAGAUAUGAUUUGAUGGAAAUUAGUUAAAGUUUCAUCCCGUUAAGUCAUUUUUGAGCUCUCAGGAAAGCCCAGCCUAUAGUCAGUUUAUUUUUUCUAAAUUAAUUGUAUAAUUGAUAUGUUUAAUCGUAAUCCUACGCUGAUCACACAGAUACAAUCGUACAGUUGAAGUCUUUCUUAAUCGAAAUGAAAGCUUAACUUUUUCAAAGAACUAUUAAAAGGUAGGAAAGGUUGUUUGUUGUCAAGGACUAGAAUGCGCCAUUCUAUUGUAUCUGGUUACGUUUUUAAUAGUAUGUAGGUAAACGUGAAACUUAUCAGCGAUUGUUUCUUAUUAUUUAUUAAUAUUACUUUUAAUUUACCUGGGCAUUUGUGCUCCAACUAUACUCAUUUACUGAGUUUUGUACCCUUUUUUCGCAAACCGUACUCUUUUUAAAUCCUGUACUCUGAAAGUACUCAUUUGUAUAAUUUAGUUUAAAUAGAAAUUUCCUGAUGUUGUCCAGGCAGUAAUGCUGCUUUUAUAAGGGUAUUUUCACUAGGGUUAUUGCAGCAGUGAGAAGUCGCAACUUUCUGUAAAAACAUUAUCUGUCUUAACGGUCAAAUUUAAUAUGCAAAAUGAAAGUUGUUCGGAAGUGGCUACAUUAUUAGACGAAUUAUUAAAUGAGGAUUUAGCAAAAAAAAAAACGACUCCAAAGAAAAUUAUGUUUUUAACCCUGGAAAGAUAGUCUGCGUAAAAUUUACGCAUGCGUUUUCGAAUAAUUGCUCUAUCUUUCUAAUUAGCGCGAAUCCAUAGCUGUGCGUUUAGGACAUCUCAUUCGUCGUUGGGAGCUGCCGCGUGACGUAAGUGUCAAUAAGAUAUUGAGGCAAAUAUAUAUCACAAUGGGGAGUAUCAAUUGAAACGAACACGAAAUCCUGGCCGCUCUUAUGCAAAGUGAUGACGAGCUUCCGUGUGAGGACACCGACAGUGAAGUAGCGGACCACGUUUAAAGUUUUCUUUUUUUUUAAGUAAAAAUAAAGGAGUUUAAAAAAU